UUCAUCAACUUAUCCAGGAAUUCCCAAACUUUUGGUCCUAAAGACCGGUUACUCACUGAAGCUAAGCAGGGCUGAGCCUGGUCAGUACUAGGAUAGGGGACCACAUGAGAAAACUAGGUUGCUGUUGUAG
This 130-nucleotide ribosomal RNA is filed under the name Danio rerio (zebrafish). Lineage: Eukaryota; Metazoa; Chordata; Actinopteri; Cypriniformes; Danionidae. The record is from RNAcentral.